GAGGGUACAGCUCAGUGGUAGGGCAAGUACCUAGCAAGCACGAAGUCCUGGGUUCAAUCCCCAGUACCUCCA
Molecule: transfer RNA, 72 nt
Filed under: Camelus bactrianus (Bactrian camel)
Lineage: Eukaryota; Metazoa; Chordata; Mammalia; Artiodactyla; Camelidae
Also listed under: 2 other names
Rfam family: tRNA
About the family: Transfer RNA (tRNA) molecules are approximately 80 nucleotides in length. Their secondary structure includes four short double-helical elements and three loops (D, anti-codon, and T loops).
Source: Rfam by way of RNAcentral